CCUACGGGGGGCUGCAGUGGGGAAUCUUGCGCAAUGGGGGCAACCCUGACGCAGCCAUACCGCGUGUGUGAUGAAGGUCUUCGGAUUGUAAAGCACUUUCAGUAGGGACGAUGAUGACGGUACCUACAGAAGAAGUCACGGCUAACUUCGUGCCAGCAGCCGCGGUAAUACGAAGGUGGCGAAUGUUGCUCGGAUUCACUGGGCGUAAAGCGUCGGUAGGUGGUUUGUUAAGUCAGAGGUGAAAGCCCCGCGCUCAACGUGGGAAUUGCCUUUGA
This 275-nucleotide ribosomal RNA is filed under the name uncultured bacterium. RNAcentral describes it as "partial 16S ribosomal RNA". It matches the Rfam family "Bacterial small subunit ribosomal RNA", at positions 338 to 630 of the family's 1533-position model. The record is from RNAcentral.